UACGUAGGGUGCAAGCGUUAAUCGGAAUUACUGGGCGUAAAGCGUGCGCAGGCGGUUGUGCAAGACAGAUGUGAAAUCCCCGGGCUUAACCUGGGAACUGCAUUUGUGACUGCACGGCUAGAGUGCGGCAGAGGGGGAUGGAAUUCCGCGUGUAGCAGUGAAAUGCGUAGAUAUGCGGAGGAACACCGAUGGCGAAGGCAGCCUCCUGGGUCAAUAUUGACGCUCAGGCACGAAAGCGUGGGGAGCAAACAGG
Molecule: ribosomal RNA, 253 nt
Filed under: uncultured bacterium
Lineage: Bacteria
Description: partial 16S ribosomal RNA
Rfam family: Bacterial small subunit ribosomal RNA
Source: RNAcentral